This 526-nucleotide ribosomal RNA is filed under the name uncultured Clostridium sp. RNAcentral's name for it is "bacterial SSU rRNA". It matches the Rfam family "Bacterial small subunit ribosomal RNA", at positions 8 to 551 of the family's 1533-position model. The record is from RNAcentral. Lineage: Bacteria; Bacillati; Bacillota; Clostridia; Eubacteriales; Clostridiaceae.
AGAGUUUGAUCCUGGCUCAGGACGAACGCUGGCGGCGUGCUUAACACAUGCAAGUCGAGCGAUGAAGCUCCUUCGGGAGUGGAUUAGCGGCGGACGGGUGAGUAACACGCGGGUAACCUGCCUCAUAGAGGGGAAUAGCCUUUCGAAAGGAAGAUUAAUACCGCAUAAGAUUGUAGUACCGCAUGGUACAGCAAUUAAAGGAGUAAUCCGCUAUGAGAUGGACCCGCGUCGCAUUAGCUAGUUGGUGAGGUAACGGCUCACCAAGGCGACGAUGCGUAGCCGACCUGAGAGGGUGAUCGGCCACAUUGGGACUGAGACACGGCCCAGACUCCUACGGGAGGCAGCAGUGGGGAAUAUUGCACAAUGGGGGAAACCCUGAUGCAGCAACGCCGCGUGAGUGAUGACGGUCUUCGGAUUGUAAAGCUCUGUCUUUAGAGACGAUAAUGACGGUACCUAAGGAGGAAGCCACGGCUAACUACGUGCCAGCAGCCGCGGUAAUACGUAGGUGGCAAGCGUUGUCCGGAUU